ACACAUACAUUAUAACUCGCACUCUCCAUAAAUAUAAUGAAAUCAAAUAAUUUCUUAUAACCAUGUAAUUUAUUUAUUGAGGAUAAAUAAUAAAUAAAUCUCCCAUAAAUAUUACUAUUCAUUUAUUAAAUAUUAAUUUAUUUCUCUUUUUUAUUAUUUAAUAAAAUUUGAAAGAAUAAUAUUGAGAUUUUAAUUUCAAUUUGAUCCAUCAAACAAAGUAUCGGUUACAUUAUUGAAUCUUUUUAUUAUCACCCAAAACGUCAAUUAACAUGUUUCUCCCUUUAUGAUUAGGAUGUUUAAUUAAUAUGUAUGGUUUAAAUAUUAAAUUGUGUUUAAUUAAUAUGUAUGAUUUAAACUUUAAUUUUUUUUUCCGUAAAUAUUUUGAAUGAAUUUUAUAUUAGGUUACUGAUAAACGAAUUC
This 420-nucleotide long non-coding RNA is filed under the name Panax ginseng (ginseng). Its description in RNAcentral is "long non-coding RNA (PGIN_LNC010201)". The record is from RNAcentral. Lineage: Eukaryota; Viridiplantae; Streptophyta; Magnoliopsida; Apiales; Araliaceae.